Molecule: ribosomal RNA, 511 nt
Filed under: uncultured bacterium
Lineage: Bacteria
Description: partial 16S ribosomal RNA
Rfam family: Bacterial small subunit ribosomal RNA
Source: RNAcentral
GACAAACGCUGGCGGUAUGCCUAACACAUGCAAGUCGAACGGACAGAACAGGGAAGCUUUUCGGAGUGGAACUGGAAAGUUAGUGGCGGAUGGGUGAGUAACGCGUGGACAACCUACCUUGUAAAGGGGAAUAACCUCGAGAAAUCGAAGCUAAUACCCCAUAAUAACCUUGCUUCGCAUGAAGUAAGGAGGAAAGGCGGCCUUAGCGCUGUCGAUACAAGAUGGGUCCGCGUCUGAUUAGCUAGUUGGUGAGGUAAAGGCUCACCAAGGCGACGAUCAGUAGCCGGCCUGAGAGGGUGAACGGCCACAUUGGGACUGAGACACGGCCCAAACUCCUACGGGAGGCAGCAGUGGGGAAUCUUCCGCAAUGGGCGAAAGCCUGACGGAGCAAUGCCGCGUGAGUGAAGAAGGCCCUCGGGUUGUAAAACUCUGUCCUUAUCGAAGAGAGAGUGUUGUAGUAACUGACAAUACUAGGACGGUAGAUGAGGAGGAAGCCCCGGCUAACUAUGUG